GUUUAGAGACUGCUUUCCUUCUUCAGAACAUUUUAGAAAUUAAUGCUGUGUGAUAGCUCCAUAAUGUCCUUCCUCUGAAGGCCUGAGCUGCAGGCCUGCAAUGCACAGUAUCAAGUCAGAGGCCUCCCAGCAGCUGGCCCCUCAGGCUGCGUCCUGUCGAUGGGCAGCCAGGCUAGUGCUGGGUUCGUCUUAUGUGCACAGCCUCGCUUAUUAAGAGGUCUCACAACUGAAAUCAAUUGCUUGGGUUGAGCCUGCAAAGGUAUUGUUUACUUUUUAUUCCCAAAGAUAAUUUCUUUUUAAUUGCUCUUUUAAUAAGCGGGGAGAUCUAAGCUAAGGUAGCAAUGGGGAAUAAGUAAGACCUGAAAUUGGGAAACGGCGGCGCAGGCACAGCUCCUCACUGCUCCCCCCUUCGUGCUGUGAACGGCGCUCAGAGCAGAGCUGCUGGGGGGAGGACACAGGGUUGCCGCUUUGGCUGCAUUGUGUCUUCUUACACUGGAUGGAAUAUGAAAUACGACGGGGAGGGAACGUGUGGGAAGGGCAUUAAUAGGCUUUGUUCUCCAGGAGGCUGGUGUUUUAAAGGAGGCUUUCCUGUGGGGGGGAGAGGGAGGGAGGAAGGUGGGGGCUGUGUGGAAGCAAGUAGAUUGGAGUCAUGGGGACACCUGAGGAGCUGGGGGGGGGGCGGUCAUUAGAAAGCACCUUCUCAGGUGACCCAGAUGUUCACUUAAAAACAAUCUGCCACUGGGCACAGCUAAUAUGUGAGCAUCUACUCCGGGGUAGUGUGCCAGAGGCAUGCGUGUCUAAUCCUCACAGCACUCCGGCAAAUGGUUGGUCUUAUUGAUUUCAUUUUAUAGACGAGGAGAGGGAGGACAGACAAGGAAAGGAACUUCUGCAAGAUCCUACUGCUUGUGGGAGGUGAGGCGGAGUGUAAACUCACGGCCCCUCACAGCCCUUCCCGGGACCAGUAGCGUGGAGGCUUGAAUGGCUUUUAAUGAGCCUCUGCGCCUCGGCCUCGUGUGCGGAAACGUUAGCGGGGUGCCUGCUGGACACCUAGGGGGUCGUCUGCGGCUCAGCAGCACCUGGUAAGGGGCUCUGUUCCUGAGGUCGGGGAGGGGAAGCCGAGGCUGGUGGGUGGACUCAUUUGCCUGAAGGCAGAGCCUUAGUGAGUGUGUGGAGGUCCUGUGCUGGCUCUCUCACCCCCACUGCCUUCUGAAGCCCGGCCUGACACUUCACCCUUCCUCUCCUGCAGACGCGUGUCCCUCAUGUGCAGCAGCCACGGGAAGGGAGCACAUCCGCCCUCCUGGGGCGCCCACGGAGGGAGACAGGCACAGCAGGUGGAAGCCUGUGGUAGGACAGCUAGGGAGCCAUGUGCCUGUCCCCCUCUGGAAGAUGCGGAUGAAGGGGUUAGGUGCUCAGAGGAGUUCAGCAGCCAAAGAAAUAUGUUUACCUUUAUUAGCCUAGUCUUGCCCAAACUUUUGUGACUACCAAACAUUGCUUCCCCCGCAAGCCAUCUUCUAGCUCAGUGGGACAGACUUGGGGAG
Molecule: long non-coding RNA, 1538 nt
Organism: Myotis brandtii (Brandt's bat)
Lineage: Eukaryota; Metazoa; Chordata; Mammalia; Chiroptera; Vespertilionidae
Exons: 2
Source: RefSeq, a predicted model, not a curated record